Molecule: long non-coding RNA, 679 nt
Filed under: Homo sapiens (human)
Lineage: Eukaryota; Metazoa; Chordata; Mammalia; Primates; Hominidae
Description: long non-coding RNA NONHSAT159730.1
Source: RNAcentral
AGGCAAAGACAUGGCAGCAGUGCAGAGGACCCUGAUGGCUUUGGGCAGCUUGGCAGUGACCAAGAAUGAUGGGCACUACCGUGGAGAUCCCAACUGGUUUAUGAAGAAAGCGCAGGAGCAUAAGAGGGAAUUCACAGAGAGCCAGCUGCAGGAGGGAAAGCAUGUCAUUGGCCUUCAGAUGGGCAGCAACAGAGGGGCCUCCCAGGCCGGCAUGACAGGCUACGGACGACCUCGGCAGAUCAUCAGUUAGAGCGGAGAGGGCUAGCCCUGAGCCCGGCCCUCCCCCAGCUCCUUGGCUGCAGCCAUCCCGCUUAGCCUGCCUCACCCACACCCGUGUGGUACCUUCAGCCCUGGCCAAGCUUUGAGGCUCUGUCACUGAGCAAUGGUAACUGCACCUGGGCAGCUCCUCCCUGUGCCCCCAGCCUCAGCCCAACUUCUUACCCGAAAGCAUCACUGCCUUGGCCCCUCCCUCCCGGCUGCCCCCAUCACCUCUACUGUCUCCUCCCUGGGCUAAGCAGGGGAGAAGCGGGCUGGGGGUAGCCUGGAUGUGGGCCAAGUCCACUGUCCUCCUUGGCGGCAAAAGCCCAUUGAAGAAGAACCAGCCCAGCCUGCCCCCUAUCUUGUCCUGGAAUAUUUUUGGGGUUGGAACUCAAAAAAAAAAAAAAAAAAUCAAUCUUUU